RNAcentral lists this long non-coding RNA (1343 nucleotides) under Homo sapiens (human). RNAcentral's name for it is "non-protein coding lnc-TLE4-3:1". Lineage: Eukaryota; Metazoa; Chordata; Mammalia; Primates; Hominidae. The record is from RNAcentral.
AGUUUGGAUGUAGUUUGACCCUGCCAAAACUCAUACUGAAAUUUGAUCUUUAAGGUGGCAGCAUUCGGGGAUGGGGCCUAGUGGGAAGUGUUUGAGCCAGGAGGUAGAUCCCUAAUGAAUUGACUAAUGCCCUCCACUGGGGUGAAUGAAUUCUUGUUCUCACUGGAAUGGAUUGGUUGUUAAAAAGAAUCUGGCUUCCUCAGUUUCUCUCUCUUGCUUCCUCCCUCACCAUAUGAUCUCUUUGCACUUGUCUACUCCCCCUUGGCUUUCUGCCAUGAGUGGAAGCAGCAUGAGGUCUUCACCAGAAGGUAAGCAGAUGCUAUUGCCAUGCCCUUUGAUCUUCCCAGUCUGCAGAACUGUGAGCUAAAUAAACCUCUUUUUCUUAUACGUUACCUAGUCUCAUGUAUUCUGUUUUAGCAACACAAAACUAAGACAGAAUGUCAUACCUAAAAUACAGUUGACAUUAUACCGACUUGAAUGGGAAUUCAUGUGGUAGAGCUGGGGUUGGUAAACUUUUUCUGUAAAGGGCCAGAGGGUAAAUAUUUCAGGCUUUACAGCCCAUAUGUUCUGUCUCAAACACUCAACUCUGCAUGAAAGCAGCCAUAGACAGUAUGUAAAUAAAUGAGCAAGGCUAGAUUCCAAUAAAACUUUAUUUAUGGACACUGACAUUUAGAUUUCAUAUCUUUUUUCAUGUAUCAUAAAACAUUAUACUUCUUUUGAUUUUUAUUUCAUUUAAAAAUGUAAAAACUAUCUUUAACUCACAGGGCCUCCAUAAACAGGCAGUGAGUCAGAUUGGGCCCACAUGGACAUAGUUCAAGAUUCCUGCUAUGGUUGACACUCUAGGGACAAAGCCCAAAAUGGUUCAUCACAAUCACAAAAUAUUUUUAGAAGUAUCUUGCCUUAUAUUUGUAGUUUUCAACCAACCAUGACUUUUCCACCCAACUACAGGGGACAUUUGGCAGUGUCUGGAGACAUUUUUGGUUGUUACAACUGGAAUUGCGCAUCUGGGGGUUGAGGCCAGGGUUGCUGUUAAACAUUGGGCAAUGCACAGGACACUUCCCCGCAGCAAAGAAUUACCCAGCCCAAAAUGUCAAGUGCUGAAAUUGAGAAACCCUGCUUUAUAUUAAAAUACGUGCACAUUUUGUAUUCCACUCAAUGUUCAGUAUAAUAUUAUUUACACAUUUUUUUCUUUGAGUAAAAUUGACACUGCAAGAAAAUUGGUCAUGUUUAUCUGGUGCCCUAGCCUGAGGUCUGGUACAUGGCCAUGAACCAUGCUUUGCAAAAGAUGGCCCUAUCCCUGUCUUUCAAUUGAUUCCCUCAUUUUACAGCUUAGCUCUGACCUU